Molecule: unclassified non-coding RNA, 273 nt
Filed under: Hevea brasiliensis (rubber tree)
Lineage: Eukaryota; Viridiplantae; Streptophyta; Magnoliopsida; Malpighiales; Euphorbiaceae
Source: RNAcentral
UCGGCCUCCGGCCGCCUGCUCAGGUGGGAUCUGGGGUUCCGAGAAGGGGAGGAGAUGGGAGAUGAAGGAGGAGAACUGAGAUUUGUAGGGAGCGAUGGUGGUGGAGAAGGUGGAGGAGGUGGUGAAGAUGGUGGCGGCGGAGUUGCUGGAGGGACUGAAGGCGAGGAAGGCGGUGAAGAGAAUGAAUGCGGCGACGAAGCCGUAGGUGAAGAACUUGGCGCGGCGGGCGGUGAUGGGUGGAAGGAGGAUUUUGAGGUCGGAGGAGAGCUUCGA